This 248-nucleotide ribosomal RNA is filed under the name uncultured bacterium. RNAcentral describes it as "partial 16S ribosomal RNA". It matches the Rfam family "Bacterial small subunit ribosomal RNA", at positions 523 to 769 of the family's 1533-position model. The record is from RNAcentral.
AUACGUAGGUGGCAAGCGUUAUCCGGAUUUACUGGGUGUAAAGGGCGUGUAGGCGGGUCUUGCAAGUCAGAUGUGAAAUCUCCGGGCUUAACUCGGAAGUGUCAUCUGAAACUACGGAUCUUGAGUACUGGAGAGGAUAGUGGAAUUCCUAGUGUAGCGGUAAAAUGCGUAGAUAUUAGGAGGAACACCAGUGGCGAAGGCGGCUAUCUGGACAGUAACUGACGCUGAGGCGCGAAAGCGUGGGGAGC